Molecule: ribosomal RNA, 467 nt
Filed under: uncultured bacterium
Lineage: Bacteria
Description: partial 16S ribosomal RNA
Rfam family: Bacterial small subunit ribosomal RNA
Source: RNAcentral
GACGAACGCUGGCGGCGUGCUUAACACAUGCAAGUCGAACGGAAAGGCCCUGCUUUUGUGGGGUGCUCGAGUGGCGAACGGGUGAGUAACACGUGAGUAACCUGCCCUUGACUUUGGGAUAACUUCAGGAAACUGGGGCUAAUACCGGAUAGGAGCUCCUGCUGCAUGGUGGGGGUUGGAAAGUUUCGGCGGUUGGGGAUGGACUCGCGGCUUAUCAGCUUGUUGGUGGGGCAGUGGCUUACCAAGGCUUUGACGGGUAGCCGGCCUGAGAGGGUGACCGGCCACAUUGGGACUGAGAUACGGCCCAGACUCCUACGGGAGGCAGCAGUGGGGAAUAUUGCACAAUGGGCGGAAGCCUGAUGCAGCAACGCCGCGUGCGGGAUGACGGCCUUCGGGUUGUAAACCGCUUUCGCCUGUGACGAAGCGUGAGUGACGGUAAUGGGUAAAGAAGCACCGGCUAACUACGU